GGGGGCAUAGCUCAGUUGGGAGAGCGCCUCGUUCGCAAUGAGAAGGUCAGGGGUUCGAAUCCCCUUGUCUCCACCA
Molecule: transfer RNA, 76 nt
Filed under: Candidatus Kuenenia stuttgartensis
Lineage: Bacteria; Pseudomonadati; Planctomycetota; Candidatus Brocadiia; Candidatus Brocadiales; Candidatus Brocadiaceae
Description: Candidatus Kuenenia stuttgartiensis tRNA-Ala
Rfam family: tRNA
About the family: Transfer RNA (tRNA) molecules are approximately 80 nucleotides in length. Their secondary structure includes four short double-helical elements and three loops (D, anti-codon, and T loops).
Source: RNAcentral